UACGAGUGGCAAAACAACGUUGGCAUGGAUCUGUUGGAGGAGAGGAGUUUGUGGUGGGCUCCCAGUGACAUCUCAUGGAGUGACGGUGAGAGCAUCUCAUAGGGUCUGGGGGAGCACCUGGAUGCACUUGGACCCGGAGCACCGCUUAAAGGAGGUGUCCCUCCCCGGUGCCCUCAAUCUGUCACAAGAA
Poecile atricapillus (Black-capped chickadee) is the source of this 190-nucleotide long non-coding RNA. RefSeq lists it as uncharacterized. NCBI's taxonomy places the organism in Eukaryota, Metazoa, Chordata, Aves, Passeriformes, Paridae. The record is from RefSeq and is a predicted model, not a curated record. The transcript has 2 exons.